UGGAGGUAGAGCUACCAAUAGGGCUAGGGGGCUUCACCGCCUACCAACCCCUGAUGAACUCCGAAUGCCAUGACAUCAUACCGGCAGUGAGGCUACGGGUGCUAAGGUCCGUAGCCGAGAGGGGAACAACCCAGACCAACAGCUAAGGUCCCCAAAUAGAUAUUAAGUUGAUUUUAACGAUGUGAGGAUGCAGUGACAGCUAGGAUGUUUGCUUGGAAGCAGCAAUUCAUUUAAAGAGUGCGUAACAGCUCACUAGUCGAGCGUUCUUGCGCGGAAAAUAAUCGGGCAUCAAAUAUCUUACCGAAGCUUUGGAUACCAGUCUAGGACUGGUGGUGGUAGGGGAGCAUUCUAAACUGCAGUGAAGGUGUGUCGUGAGAUGCGCUGGAGUGUUUAGAAAAGCAAAUGUAGGAAUGAGUAACGAUAAAAUAGGUGAGAAACCUAUUCGCCGUAAGACUAAGGAUUCCGGGAUCUAUGUUAAUCAGAACCGGGUUAGUCGGGGCCUAAGGUGUAGCCGAAGGGCGAAGCCGAUGGGAAACAGGUUAAUAUUCCUGUACAUGUAUCAGCUGUGAUGGGGUGACGAAGGAGCGUAAGGUUCGCCCACUGACGGAAUAGUGGGUUGAAGGGAGAAGGCGUUGAAGAUAUAGGCAAAUCCGUAUCUGAGCUGAGACCUGAUAGUACACAAGUCCCUUGGGAUGAGUGAUAGUGACUGUAAGCAUACUUCCAAGAAAAACCUCUAAACUUCAGGCUGACACAUCCCGUACCGUAAACCGACACAGGUAGUCGAGGAGAGUAUCCUAAGGCGCUCGAGUGAUCCGUGGCUAAGGAACUAGGCAAAAUGGUCUCGUAACUUCGGGAGAAGAGACUCCCCUCGUGAGAGGGGACGCAGUGAAGAGGCCCAGGCGACUGUUUAACAAAAACACAGGACUCUGCAAAAUCGUAAGAUGAAGUAUAGGGUCUGACACCUGCCCGGUGCUGGAAGGUUAAGGAAGGGGGUUAGUGCGUAAGUGCGAAGCUCUUAACUGAAGCCCCAGUAAACGGCGGCCGUAACUAUAACGGUCCUAAGGUAGCGAAAUUCCUUGUCGGGUAAGUUCCGACCUGCACGAAUGGUGUAACGAUCUGGGCGCUGUCUCAGCCACGAGCUCGGUGAAAUUGAAGUAUCGGUGAAGAUGCCGAUUACCCGCAACGGGACGGAAAGACCCCGUGAACCUUUACUACAACUUCACAUUGAGCUUGAAUACAGGAUGUGUAGGAUAGGUGGGAGGCUACGAAGCUGUGACGCUAGUCAUGGUGGAGCCAACGUUGAAAUACCACCCUUCCUGUAUUUAGGUUCUAAUCCCUAAAAGGGAAACAGUGUGUGGUGGGUAGUUUGACUGGGGUGGUCGCCUCCAAAAAAGUAACGGAGGCUCGCAAAGGUACACUCAGCAUGGUCGGUAAUCAUGCGAAGAGCGUAUUAGUAUAAGUGUGCUUGACUGAGAGACCGACGGGUCGAUCAGGAACGAAAGUUGGCUAAAGUGAUCCGGUGUUUCCGCAUGGAAGGGACAUCGCUCAAAGGAUAAAAGGUACUCCGGGGAUAACAGGCUGAUCCUACCCAAGAGCUCAUAUCGACGGUAGGGUUUGGCACCUCGAUGUCGGCUCGUCACAUCCUGGGGCUGGAGAAGGUCCCAAGGGUUGGGCUGUUCGCCCAUUAAAGUGGCACGCGAGCUGGGUUCAGAACGUCGCAAGACAGUUCGGUCCCUAUCUGUUGUGGGCGCAGGAAUAUUGAAGGGAGCUGAUUCUAGUACGAGAGGACCGAAUUGGACGUACCGCUAGUGUACCGGUUGUGGCGCCAGCUGCACCGCCGGGUAGCUAUGUACGGCAAGGAUAAGCGCUGAAAGCAUCUAAGCGCGAAGCCAUCCCUAAGAUGAGUAUUCCAGCACGUAAGUGUAAAGGACCCCAGAAGACUACUGGGUUGAUAGGUUAUAGGUGGAAGUGCAGUAAUGUGCGUAGCCGAGUAAUACUAAUUGUCCGACAGCUUCCUUUU
RNAcentral lists this ribosomal RNA (2020 nucleotides) under wastewater metagenome. RNAcentral's name for it is "bacterial LSU rRNA". It matches the Rfam family "Bacterial large subunit ribosomal RNA", at positions 897 to 2925 of the family's 2925-position model. The record is from RNAcentral.